AAAAAAAAACUUGUCACGACUGCAAUGGGCCGAAACCUGAAACGCAACAGCGUUCUGGCCUAGACCCACCCACAGCGAGCAGCCCCCCGCGCACAAGAGCUUCCCAACCCAAUAACCCUAGUUCGGCGACGACUUGGCGCGCGGCGGCGGUUGGUUCGGAGCCGGCGAGGGCCACACGGGGCACGUGAAGGGAGCGCUUCCGCCGGCCUCCGCCGUGGUUGCUCGCGGCGUCGGCGAGGACGACCUCCUCGAGGGUUUUCGCAGCCCAAGGUGCGCCGAUUACCACCCCCCCCCCCCCCCCCCCCCCC
RNAcentral lists this long non-coding RNA (308 nucleotides) under Hordeum vulgare. RNAcentral describes it as "long non-coding RNA (HVUL_LNC008614)". Lineage: Eukaryota; Viridiplantae; Streptophyta; Magnoliopsida; Poales; Poaceae. The record is from RNAcentral.